RNAcentral lists this ribosomal RNA (255 nucleotides) under Inermocoelotes inermis. RNAcentral's name for it is "partial 12S ribosomal RNA". Lineage: Eukaryota; Metazoa; Arthropoda; Arachnida; Araneae; Agelenidae. The record is from RNAcentral.
AUCGAUAAUNCACGUUAANUUUCACUUUGAUUUACAAUUUAUAUACCAUCAUCUUAAGAAUUAAUUCAAAAAUAUUUCUCCUAAUAAAUUAUAAAAAGUUAGAUCAAGGUAUAAUCUACAUUGAAGAAUAAGAUGAAUUACAUUAAAUAAUAUUCAAAGAUUAUUAAUAAAUAUAUAAAUACAAAUAAGAAUUUAAAAGUAAUAUACAAACAAUAAUAUUAUAUGAUAAAGAUAAUAAAUGUGCACACAUCGCCC